CCUUUGGGGGAGCGCAUCGACGCAUCGCAGUCUAUGCGAAGCAGCUGAGCGCGUUUAUAUUUUGCCAUGUGUUAAUCGCAUUCCAUCGCCUUGUAACACAAGGGGCAGGUAAAGGUAAGCCGCGCCUCCGCGUGCAAUCAGAUGGGCAACUCUUUAAAGCCACACAUCCAAAAUGCCGGCAAGACUGGGGUGUGUACGCUGCCCAACAGCAACCUCAAGGAGCUCACAGGCGUUAUGACUGUUCCAGCCUUGAAGAAGACAAGUCCACUUGAAACGUCGGCUCGAGCACCCACCCCCUGUUUACGGAUUUUUUCAUCGCAAGCCUCCAUCUUUCACUUCCUGCCGUUUUUUUAACAAAGUACCAAGCGCAGAGCUAUGAAGAAUAGAAAUGCACGGAAGAUAGAUGGCAAUUACUGAAGAUAAUACACGCCUUAGGAUAUCUUCUUACAGGGUAUAGAAACAGACACAAACCAACUGUUAUUUUUCGAGUCUCAUUUUAUUCAAACGUGGAUAAAGGUGUUUACAGGAAAAAGUCAAUAGCUCUAUAAGCCCCUUGGCCUUAAUUACAGAACAUUUUUGCUGCUGCCACUGACACUUCCUAAACAAAUGGAAAGCAAAGUCGCAGCAAUGUUACAAGCAGGCACAGCUCCUGUACAGAUCUGUGCAAUGCAAAAAAAAAAGAAAGUUUACAACAGAGAAUGGUCGGAAAGCAUCAGAACAUCAGCCAUGAGAGUUCUAUAGAACGAGAGCUAUAUAUAUAUAACUGUUCCAGCAAAAAAAUAUAUUUCUUGGAAAACGGGGGGAAAAAAAAAACAA
Long non-coding RNA from Rhipicephalus sanguineus (brown dog tick), 816 nucleotides. RefSeq lists it as uncharacterized. The record is from RefSeq and is a predicted model, not a curated record. Lineage: Eukaryota; Metazoa; Arthropoda; Arachnida; Ixodida; Ixodidae. The transcript is spliced from 2 exons.